RNA transcript from Carassius carassius (crucian carp), 2305 nucleotides. It is a transcript of the gene named tripartite motif-containing 13-like, with no coding region annotated. Lineage: Eukaryota; Metazoa; Chordata; Actinopteri; Cypriniformes; Cyprinidae. The transcript is spliced from 3 exons. The record is from RefSeq and is a predicted model, not a curated record.
AUCUGACCUAAUAUAUUUGGUUAACCUGUCUCUUCCACAGAAUCGCUUGAUAUGCAUUGAAAAAAACAUUGUCUGCUUGAUGCAGAUGUAAAAAAAAAAAAAAAAAAGCUUGCAGGCUAAGAUUUACAUGGAUGCAGUUUCUCAUUAUCAUGCAAUUUGGUUGGUUCUAUAAUUUAUUCACUGUAGACUAGAAGCGCAUUUUCGUAAAACCAAACAAAUAGGCUAACGCUAUUGCGCGUAAUGUAUAUGAUGUCUAAAAUGGCACUAGACAGCACUGAGUGCUCUGGACUUCACAAUCGGUGCGAGAUGCACGAGAAAGACGCUUGCCAAGAUGAUGAAAGUUGUAUUAAUGUGUCAUGCCCCCAACAAGCUUUUAAAUUGAUGUAUUUUUCCACUUUAGGAUACAAUGGAGCUCUUGGAGGAGGAUCUCACAUGCCCAAUAUGCUGCUGUCUUUUCGAGGACCCGAGAGUUCUGCCGUGCUCUCACAGCUUCUGCAAGAAGUGUCUCGAGGGCAUCCUGGACGGUAACCGGGGCCCUUUAUGGAGAUCACCAUUCAAAUGUCCGACCUGUCGAAAGGAGACUGUGCACAACGGCAUCGCGAGCUUGCAAGUCAAUUACUCCCUACGUGGCAUCGUGGAGAAGUACAACAGGAUUCGAGUGAUGCCGAGGAUGUCGCUCUGCCGAGUUCACAGCGGACAGCCGCUCAACAUCUUCUGCGCCACGGAUCUGAAGCUCAUCUGUGGUUUUUGCGCCACGACAGGUGAUCAUAAAGGACACAAGUUUUGCGCGCUGGAGGAGGCGUAUGAACGCGAGAAGCUCGCGUUUGAGGAGUUGUUUCGUGUCGUGGAGGGCUGGAGGGGUGAGGAGGUGCAUUCGUGCCUGGAAUCGUUAGAGGGAGCGAAGAGGAAAGCGCUGGAGAGGGUCUCGCGGGACGCGGAUCGAGUCUCGGAGUACUUUGAAAAACUUUUGCGCACGCUGGAGCACAAACGGAGCGAGAUCCUCUCGGACUUGGAGACUCUGAAGCUCGCGGUCAUGCAGACCUUUGACCCCGAGAUCAACCAGCUCCGUUCUGCGCUCGAGGAGCAGCGGCGCGCGCUCAGCAUCGCCGAAUCCUUCCGGUCGCUCUCCGACCCGCUCACUUUCCUCCAGCAGAUGCAGGACUUCAGAGAUAAGCUGCGCGUCAUUCGGGGAACACCGCUGCCGUCGCGGACAGACGUGGAUGUGGGUUUGCUUGGCCUGCAGUGCUUCGAUGUGAAGGAAUGGGACCGGGUGCGUAUUGGAGAGGUGGACAAGCUGUGUGCCCCCUACGAGAGCAGCACCUACCUGGCUUCGAUGCCCCCUGCUGUCGCUCCACGCUUCUCCCGUGUGCUGUGGAGAGUUGUUCUGGUUGUAUGUGCGUGCCUCCCCGCGCUGAACUUUCUCCCGUCGGACUGUCUCGCUCUGAGCUUCCAGGAUAAGAUGCUCGCACUCAGUGGCUUGUCUCUGCCCGGUCCUGGAGACAUCGUGCGCUGGUUUGAAUUCUGCUGGAAAGAAGCGGAAGCGAUCUGCACGUUAUUAACCGAGCUGUGUCAGAACUGUAUCUUGGACCUGAUAAACACAAUAUCAGAUUUCAUCAGCUGAUUUUAUAACUUCAUUCAUUAGCAGGGCUUGAGGCAUUCCAGGGCUCCAUCUGAAACACAGAAGAGAGGAGGACGCUUGCGUGAGAACAUACACACAGCAGCUGGACGUGAUGCUGACAGAUUUUCUGCAGACAAACCUCUCAGCAACUUUCAAGCAUUAUACCAAAACCUGUCCUCUGGCAACUCCAUCAAAAAUAAUGAUAUUAAAGAAAACAAGAAACUAGCACUAUUGCCUUCCAGCCCAGUCUGGAUUUAACCUCCAAGAUGGUGAUUCAGCACUGACAACAUCCAGCCUCGUAGUCAUCUUCAACAGCGAGAACAGACCUGCCACCAGCUUCCUAAAGUACUGUCCCACAGCUGAAGACAUCUCUUAUGCCCACACUAUGCUAUAAAAAAAAAGUAUUCUGAAGUAUUGAUAGUAAUAUGAGAUAUUUAUACAACUGACAAUAGAACGACGAACAGAUUCUCAAUAAAGUAUUUUCUUUGACACCACAUUCCUAAAGAUUUGAAAUUAAGUCUUGAAAUCUUAAAAUAAAAUUUGUGUUGAACCAUAUUUGAUUUUCAUUACAAAUUGGAGAAUUGUAGCAUUAAACAAUAAUUCAAAAACAUUUCCAUGUCUGCUUUUUAGUAGAAAACAUUGAAGCAGCAGAAAGGUGAGAUCUGCAGAGAGUGCACUAAAUAAUAC